GGCAGGGUCUAGUCACAUCAAGUGGACGAUAAAAACGAUGAGCAACUGUCCUCCCGCCUCAAGCUUCUGCGACUUUGGUGAGUGGAAGUCGGAAGAGGACGACUCAGAGGACUCAUGCUCUUCCGACUUCUCUUCGUCGUCCAGCGCGCCCUACGUCGUCUGUGCGCAGUCCAUCUCCUUUGCCACCGGGGCACUCGGCAAAGCGCAGCGCAAGCUCAGCGCCCUGCCGCUUUCGGACACAGACGAGGAGCUGCGCGCUGAAAUCGAGCAAAGCAGGCUGUCGCUGGAAUGUAAUCUGUCGGCACUGAGGCUGUCAGCAGUGCCAUCUGAUGUUCCACUCCAAAUUUUGCGUAAGAUUUCUCUGUCGGAGAACAAACUAGUUUCGUUGCCGGAUGGGCUGUUCUUAAACGGAUCCUUCGGUGCGCUGGUUGAGUUGGUCCUGAAUACCAAUCUGCUCACGUCCCUUCCGCUCUCUCUCUUUUACCUCCCACAUCUUCAGGUGCUUUCAGUGAACAACAACUCGCUGACGUCGCUGCCAUUUGAGAAUGUGAUAGGGGCAGAGCGCGACGCGGCGGGCGAUCCGUUUCUGCCCUCGGUGCGGCGUAUCGGAAUGGAGUCGAAUCAACUGCAGCUCCUGCCGUUGUCUUUGCUGGAGUGGUGCCCCUCUUUGGAGGAGUUGUUCUUGGCCAUGAACGAGGCAAUGCUCGAUGAGCCCGUGUCGUAUGACCGUCUUCAGAGGAUACGCCGUCUUUCCACCAAGCGUGUCGUGCUCAGAGUUGAUAAUCGCCCUCGUUUUGUGAGGCAGAUUGAGGCGCAGUGCUGGGCCCGGACUCUGCCAUGGCUGCAAGUCGAGCUGAACAAGAUCUACCCUGACAAGGUGCUGGAUUAUCUCUUCCUAGGAUCCCUGCGCACCGCGCAAACGGUGACUGUGUACCACGAUCUAGACAUCUGCUAUGUUCUCACUGUGGGGCGCGACUUGGAGGCGGUAAUUGAACCGUGGAUGCAGCAGCUUGUUCUUCCUGUGAACGACUUUCCGGAGCAGAGCAUGGUGCCCGUCUUCGAUGACGCCUUCAGGUUCAUCGAUGAGGCAAGAUCGCACAAAAAGGGCGUCCUCAUCCACUGCUUUGCCGGUCUUUCCAGGUCCGUGACGAUUGCGGUGGCCUAUCUGAUGCAUCUCAAGGGCAUCACACGCGAUGAUGCCCUUGCCUUGGUACGCCUUGCGAGGCCAGCGGCACAGCCAAAUGAUGGUUUUCUCCGUGAGCUGGGCGCCUACGAGGAGAUGCUGCGCAGUCGUUGCGUUAGUCGCGAGUAAGGCGGGGAGAGGGAAUGGGUGGCACAUGCCAUCCUCGAGGGGUUUCUUUUUUGCUUGUUUUCUUUAGCGACGGAUGUGCCUUACCCCUGUAGGCUUUUCUGUUUCCCUUCCAACGUGCGUGUGUGUGCUUCUCUCCACCCCUCCCCCUCCCCUUUUGCAUGAAUGCACGCAUGACGUAGAGUGUUUGUGCGCAUCAGCGGCGUCGAUGGCCUCCCCCUCUCCCUUCUGGAAAGGCGUGCAUGGGCUGUUGUGCCCGCCUCCAUGAGCUUCUGCGCGGACGCCACGAUAGAGUGUACGCCCGCUAAAGACGGAAUCGUUUGCUUCCCUUUCCCUUUUCUUAUCAGUCGUUCCCCGACCCCUUUCCUCCUGAGUGUGCCCUGACUAGCCAACUUCGUGUCCGCUCAUUGGUUUGUUGGCUAGAAGCAAGGAGACGGAAGGGAGUCAGAGGGAACGGCAUAACACAGCAUUGUAGGUCCAGACGAGCAUCCACGUACAGGGUGGAUGCAAUGCGCGGCGCGUUUUCACAAUGCGGAAGCUAAACCGGCAACGCAUUAACUCGCGAGGGGAUAUAUAGCAAGCCGUCCCGCUGUCUACAUACAGGGACGGGUGAGCGUGUGUCUGGGUACGCCUGCAUGUGGGUGCUUGAAGCCGUCGCGCACCGUAGAGAUGCGGGAUUUAGUGUCGUGUCGCUCAUUUUCGCUGCCGGCAUAGUGUGAGGAUGGCGUACGAAGGCGCGAAGGAAGUUGAAAAAGUGAACUGUGUCGUGCCUGUGAUGCGUACCGGAGGUGGCUCUGUGCCUUAUAAUCUGCUGUCUAUCGUUGCGCCGCAGCGUGGCACGCCGGCGUGUUUCCGUGCGUCUACCUUCCCGCGUUCGACUCCUCCGUCCCUCUCCCCCUUUUCUUUGUAAACUCGAAACAAAAAAGACCUCCUCAGUAGGAUGGUGUAGGUCCCGAGCACACCG
RNAcentral lists this unclassified non-coding RNA (2273 nucleotides) under Leishmania donovani. Its description in RNAcentral is "gene:LdHU3.28.0220(CDS-product:phopshatase_putati ve)". Lineage: Eukaryota; Euglenozoa; Kinetoplastea; Trypanosomatida; Trypanosomatidae. The record is from RNAcentral.